GGGCGCGUAGCUCAGUGGUAGAGCAGAUGUCUUAUACACAUUUGGUCGUAGGUUCGAUCCCUACCGCGCCCACCA
RNAcentral lists this transfer RNA (75 nucleotides) under Patescibacteria group bacterium. RNAcentral's name for it is "tRNA-Ile". It matches the Rfam family "tRNA". Rfam says of the family: Transfer RNA (tRNA) molecules are approximately 80 nucleotides in length. Their secondary structure includes four short double-helical elements and three loops (D, anti-codon, and T loops). The record is from RNAcentral.